This 446-nucleotide ribosomal RNA is filed under the name uncultured Desulfobulbus sp. RNAcentral describes it as "bacterial SSU rRNA". It matches the Rfam family "Bacterial small subunit ribosomal RNA", at positions 941 to 1382 of the family's 1533-position model. Lineage: Bacteria; Pseudomonadati; Thermodesulfobacteriota; Desulfobulbia; Desulfobulbales; Desulfobulbaceae. The record is from RNAcentral.
GUGGUUUAAUUCGAUGCAACGCGAAGAACCUUACCUGGUCUUGACAUCCCGGAGACCCUUAGGAACUAGGGGUGCUUCCAUCUGGAAGAAAUCUGGAGACAGGUGCUGCAUGGCUGUCGUCAGCUCGUGUCGUGAGAUGUUGGGUUAAGUCCCGCAACGAGCGCAACCCUUGCCUUUAGUUGCCAGCAGUUCGGCUGGGCACUCUAAAGGGACUGCCGGUGUUAAACCGGAGGAAGGUGGGGAUGACGUCAAGUCCUCAUGGCCUUUAUGACCAGGGCUACACACGUACUACAAUGGCCGAUACAAAGGGCAGCGACACUGCGAGGUGAAGCCAAUCCCGUAAAAUCGGUCUCAGUCCGGAUUGGAGUCUGCAACUCGACUCCAUGAAGUUGGAAUCGCUAGUAAUCGUGGAUCAGCAUGCCACGGUGAAUACGUUCCCGGGCCUU